AAAACACUAAGUUAAAAAAACUAAUAGCCUUCAAAGCUUUCUAUGAAUAAAAUGUUCGUGUUUUG
Molecule: transfer RNA, 65 nt
Filed under: Katharina tunicata (black chiton)
Lineage: Eukaryota; Metazoa; Mollusca; Polyplacophora; Chitonida; Mopaliidae
Description: tRNA-Trp
Source: RNAcentral